Oncorhynchus tshawytscha (Chinook salmon) is the source of this 400-nucleotide long non-coding RNA. NCBI's taxonomy places the organism in Eukaryota, Metazoa, Chordata, Actinopteri, Salmoniformes, Salmonidae. The record is from Ensembl.
GGAGGAGAGUAGAGGAGGAGAGGAGAGGAGGAGAGUAGAGUAGAGGAGGAGAGUAGAAGAGGAUAAUAGAGGUGGAGAGUAGAGUUGGAGAGUAGAGGAGGAGAGUAGAGGUGGAGAGUAGAGGAGGAGUGGGGAGGAGGAGAGUGGAGGAGGAUAAUAGAGGUGUAGAGUGGAGGAGGAUAAUAGAGGUGGAGAGGAGAGGAGGAUAAAAGAGGUGGAGAGUGGAGUAGGAGUGGGGAGGAGGAGAGUGGAGGAGGAUAAUAGAGGUGUAGAGUGGAGGAGGAUAAUAGAGGUGGAGAGGAGAGGAGGAUAAAAGAGGUGGAGAGUGGAGUAGGAGUGGGGAGGAGGAGAGUAGAGGAGGAGUGGGGAGGAGGAGAGUGGAGGAGGAUAAUAGAGGUGU